CCAAUAAUAAAGACACAAUCUGUUAAUCAGAGGUUUUACCAGGAUAGCUAUCAUGCUUUAAGGAUCUUCCUUGGAUUUUCUGACCUUGUGUCCUUUUUUUGCAGACAUGAAGCAAGUAAUUGUUCUGCUGUCAGUAUUGUCGCUCACCGUGUCCUCUCGUCCUGAUGAGGAGCUCGAAUGUAGGUCUGGAGAAUGUCUUCCUGCUGCACUCAUCUCUGAUUUAAAGACAGGCUGUAAAAAUGGCACGGACCAGGAGGUUUGGGGCUUAUGUACCUUUGAGCAUCACUCCUGUGGAUGGAACGACACCAGCGACUCCUCCUACCGCUGGAGACGGCAAAUGGCAAACAUCACCUCAGUACCUGGGCUGGAUCAUACCACAGGAAGUCCAUCGGGAUAUGUCAUGCGUGUGGACGGCAAACAAGACGGUGGUAUGUUUCCAACAGCUACACUGGAGUAUUCUGUUGACAAGCUGGCAGCUCUGGGAUGUCAGAUCAGCUUCUGGUACUAUAUUUAUGAUGAAGCGUCAAAAUCGUCAUCAUCUUUCAAACUAACCAUGCUCAGAGGUGACACUGAGGAGAAGUUGAUGCCCAUAUCUGACAGUAACACAGGCGGUUGGGAUAAUGCCACCGCCUUCAUCGGUAAUCGGCCAGGAGGAUACAAGUUGCGGUUGUCAUUUGAUCAAGAAUUUUUAACAGAAAAGGACGUCAUGGUGGACGAUAUCAGCUUUGAGUACUGUAAAGAGGGAGAGGUCCCUGCAGGAUCGGAACAACUCUCAUGUGAUUUUGAAACUGACACCUGUUCGUGGUACCCUGACUACACUGCCAGCCUUUUGUGGGAAAGGAGUGAUGGAAGAUAUGAUGACGGCCCAGCUGGGGAAGGUAAAUUUUGUUUAAGCAAUUAUGUUGUGGCAUCUUUUUUGGAGCAAUAUCACAUGUAAGCACAA
Molecule: long non-coding RNA, 943 nt
Filed under: Sparus aurata (gilthead seabream)
Lineage: Eukaryota; Metazoa; Chordata; Actinopteri; Spariformes; Sparidae
Description: lncRNA (ENSSAUG00010002954.1)
Source: RNAcentral